This 88-nucleotide transfer RNA is filed under the name Chloroflexota bacterium. RNAcentral describes it as "tRNA-Ser". It matches the Rfam family "tRNA". From Rfam's summary of the family: Transfer RNA (tRNA) molecules are approximately 80 nucleotides in length. Their secondary structure includes four short double-helical elements and three loops (D, anti-codon, and T loops). Further hydrogen bonds mediate the characteristic L-shaped molecular structure. tRNAs have two regions of fundamental functional importance: the anti-codon, which is responsible for specific mRNA codon recognition, and the 3' end, to which the tRNAs corresponding amino acid is attached (by aminoacyl-tRNA synthetases). tRNAs cope with the degeneracy of the genetic code in two manners: having more than one tRNA (with a specific anti-codon) for a particular amino acid; and 'wobble' base-pairing, i.e. permitting non-standard base-pairing at the 3rd anti-codon position. The record is from RNAcentral. Lineage: Bacteria; Bacillati; Chloroflexota.
GGAGGGGUGGCAGAGUGGACGAAUGCGGUGGUCUUGAAAACCGCUGACCCGCAAGGGUUCGUGGGUUCGAAUCCCACCCCCUCCGCCA